ACAGGUAUUGUGUAAUGAAGAGCAAAAUUUUAUCAACGUAUGUAUCAACACAUACAUGCAACUGUCUUUUCUAUGCACAGACACCUGCCUGCCCCUCCUCCUCUUCCCCAUACACCCCAGUUGGACCUUCUGCAAAGACCUGUUAUGCUUUGCACGUCUCCAAACAUUUCUAAAAAUGGGUUCCUGAAGCUAAAAGGAGAGAAAGAAGUAGAUGAAGGAUAAAGUCAGACUAUCAGAUCUCACUGUCACACUUCAAUUACAAUAGGAAAGCCUUUAUUUAAUCACUUCUCUCCUUCACAUGUUGUUUUUAAGCAAAAUAGACAGGUAUCACCCAAAAAGCCAAAUAUAUUUCUCAAAGCUCUUCAGUGAGACUGAAAGGUGGUUUGACCUCAAAUCCUGAGCCAUUCUCAAAUAAAAAAGAUACAGAAGUUCCUUAGAGCAUAACCAAUUCCCUCUCCAACACCGGGCAGCUUGACAGUGCCUCCUACAUUAAGGGUAACAUACAGAAGGAGCAUUUUCCUAACAGGUUGUAUCUGUUUUUCUUCGGUGACUUUUAGGGAUCAUACAGGAUAAUUACAAAAACACAGAAAACCCCACCUCUCGAGCAUGCUCUAAUAUUGCUUUCCUGCCACAGCAGAAUUCUCCCUUUUAAAUGUGAAAUCAUUCCUAAUAGGCUGGCCAAGUUCACAGGCAAACACGUUUCUCAGUGCAGAUAUGAAACUGAGAAGUCACUACAGAAAUUUCUCCCAAUAUCCAACCUAAACCUUCCUUGGCGCAACUUGAGGCCAUUUCCCCUCGUCUUAUCACUUGGUGCUUGGGAGAAAAGUCCAGUCCCCACUUCAGUAUAGCCUUCUUUAAGGUAAUUGUAGAGUGCGAUAAAGACUCUCCUGAGACUCCUUUUCCCUAGGCUGAACAACCCCAGUUAUUUAGAUAUUUGCUAGAUAUUAAGGCAACCAUUUCACAGAUGAAUUAAACACACCCCCUGUAACAGGUGAGCCCUGGGGAAGUGAUGGCUGUUGCAGUACUGUGGUAAAAAGUCAAAUGUUGAGUGGUAACUUGGAUAGCAGUUCCACAGGGAUAGUUUUACACUACCAAAAUGACUAGCUUAGUCUGGACAUCAGAGGGAAUUGGACAAGCCAUUUUCAAAGGCUCUCUCUUUCUCCUCCCAUUAAGACUUCUACUUUCUCAUUAAAUAUGCAACCAAUUCUGUGAACAGGAGAUGACUAAGUAGUUCUUCUCCUUACCAUAAGGGAAGUGGGAAUUAAAAUGGUACAUUCCAUGUUAUGUAGUUUUUCUUGCUUUUACACACUGUACUUUCUUUAAAAAAAUAAAGAAUACCAAACUUGCAAGUACUGUCUUAUCUAUAACAGAAAUACCUUCAUCCAACUAAAUUACAAACUGUUAACACUACCUGUUGAUUAAAAGUAAGCAAGUGAGAGAAAGGCUGAGGUCCCAGAAUGGUAGCACCUCAAGUUCAAAGCACUGUGGAGGCCAUUUAAACAAACCAACCGACCAAGAACCAACAAAGGGGUUUUCUUUAGGCAACUUAAAACGAAAAGAAGAUUAAUAGAACUUUUAAUUCUCAUAAACCAAGCUAGGGCCCAGUCUCAUCCUCCCAGGUGUUCCCAAAGAACAAUAUGGGCAUUGUAUCACAUAAUAACCAAGAUAAUUAUUAAGUGCCAAGUCUUCUCAGCAUCCAGCUUUACGUUUGCAGUUUCAUCAUUUAUAAAAGUCCAUAAUUUUCAAGAACUCUUGAACUUCAUCAGUAUCAUCAAAAUGAGUACAUUUUUUUCCACAAUAAGGAUGCUCUGGUUUAAAAACAAUUUUCUAACACGCUAGAUGUCUACUCAUGCAACAAGUCUCUAAAUGGCACUUUCUGAGAAGACAGCAUCUCCAUGAUACAACAGUUUUACUGUAUUUUCUCUUGGUGCUGUGGCUGUGUUACAUUAGAAAAGAGAGCUCUCCAUGGAUGUCACUCCCAAGUAACAGUUUUCAGAUUAAAACUGGAGAAACUAACUUAUGCCAACAACAGAGCAGCACUGAAAACUGGGACACGUACAAGGUGAUGUGUGGGCAAGUGCUAUCAUUCAAACUCUUGUAGGAAUGAUUUUAAAAUAGGAUUUGCUGCUCUGGUAACCCAAUGAAAAUCUUACAAGCAUGAUCUAGUUUUAGAGUUAUUUAGUUUCUGUUUCACCUUUCCCUUUAGGCAGAAUUCUCUAAGCUUUAUUGACAAUUGGGAUAUUCUCUCUGGUAUUGAAAGCAUUAUUUCACAUAACAACGAUUUUGGGAAGAGAGCAUCGUUUGACAGUCAGCCCUGGGAAAGAAUUAACAUGGUGAUGGUUA
This is a long non-coding RNA of Cygnus olor (mute swan), 2343 nucleotides long. RefSeq lists it as uncharacterized. The transcript is spliced from 3 exons. The record is from RefSeq and is a predicted model, not a curated record. Lineage: Eukaryota; Metazoa; Chordata; Aves; Anseriformes; Anatidae.